This 323-nucleotide ribosomal RNA is filed under the name uncultured Veillonellaceae bacterium. RNAcentral describes it as "partial 16S ribosomal RNA". The record is from RNAcentral. Lineage: Bacteria; Bacillati; Bacillota; Negativicutes; Veillonellales; Veillonellaceae.
GGAGUCUGGGCCGUGUCUCAGUCCCAAUGUGGCCGUCCACCCUCUCAGGCCGGCUACCGAUCGUCGCCUUGGUGGGCCGUUACCCCCCCAACCAGCUAAUCGGACGCGGGCCCAUCGGAAAGCGGAUAGAAUCCUUUGAUAUACAAGGCAUGCGCCCCGUAUACAACAUUCGGUAUUAGCACCCCUUUCGGGAUGUUGUCCCCAUCUUUCCGGCAGGUUGCCCACGCGUUACUCACCCGUUUGCCGGUCGCCAUCAAAGUUUGCAAGCAAACUUCAUGCUGCCCCUCGACUUGCAUGUGUUAAGCCUGUAGCUAGCGUUCAUC